This 253-nucleotide ribosomal RNA is filed under the name uncultured bacterium. RNAcentral's name for it is "partial 16S ribosomal RNA". It matches the Rfam family "Bacterial small subunit ribosomal RNA", at positions 524 to 776 of the family's 1533-position model. The record is from RNAcentral.
UACGGAGGUGGCAAGCGUUGCUCGGAAUUACUGGGCGUAAAGGGCGCGUAGGCGGCCUUCUAAGUCGAACGUGAAAUCCCCGGGCUCAACCCGGGAACUGCGUCCGAUACUGGAAGGCUAGAAUCCGGGAGAGGGAUGCGGAAUUCCAGGUGUAGCGGUGAAAUGCGUAGAUAUCUGGAGGAACACCGGUGGCGAAGGCGGCAUCCUGGACCGGUAUUGACGCUGAGGCGCGAAAGCGUGGGGAGCAAACAGG